Non-coding RNA from Cricetulus griseus (Chinese hamster), 3339 nucleotides. The record is from RefSeq and is a predicted model, not a curated record. NCBI's taxonomy places the organism in Eukaryota, Metazoa, Chordata, Mammalia, Rodentia, Cricetidae.
AGAGACGAUGUGUGAAGAAACAGGAAAGUCGCUGUCUUGUCUGCUGAGAUGCUAAUGAGCUUCGAGUUGCUGGCAGUACAGGCCCAUGCCACAGGUCCCGCCACUUGUCAAAUGGAAAGUUUGCACAGAGCAAAUGCAAUGAGGAAGGAGACAGCUGCUUGAUGCCAAGGAACAGCCGAGGCCACCAGAUAAGUGAGGGGGCAGGAAAGCCACCUUCCUGGAGGCUUUAGCGGGAGUCUGGCUUUGCUGACCCUUGGCUGCAGACGCCUAGAGUGGUGACAACAUGGAUUUCCAUUGCUGUAAACCAGCCUGUGUUCCAUUGCUGUAAACCAGCCCCAAGCAAGAAUCUAACAUCCUCUAAGAAAUGUAUAUUUUUCCUGGGAAUGAAGGUCACAGUAUCACACCACAGUGUCUGGCUCCACAGACAGACUCAUUUCCUUAACAUGGGUGGCAAGAUCACCUUGCUUGUUUAGAAAUAAAUGACCACUGUUGGUAAAUCUUUGGCAAGUGCAUGAUUUCUCUACCAAUGAAACUAGUCAGCGUGAAUGCUACCCAAUUUUUAUCUGGGAAAUCUAAUAAGGGAGAUUUAUUUUAGUGACAAACAAAAAAAAGUUCCAACGAGGAGCUUAUUAGUAAUUCAGUAUGGCCUACUGAAUUACUACUCUGAAGAUCUGUUUUCCAAGAGAAAUGUUGGGAGAAUUUUUAAAUUCUGAUUAUAGUGACUUGAUAGAAAACAAAUGAUCCUUGAUAUUAAACUUGUAUGGGGGGGGAAGCAGUCCAGUGUGAAGUAAGGAAAGGGAGUAGACACAUUACAGAGGUACCCAGGCAUCGUACAGUCCCAUCCGUGAAGUGAGGCUGCCUUCCAGGGCAGUUUGAAAAGCAAGGCAGUGGCAGGGGAAGCAUGAAGGAGAGGUGCCCUGCUGUUUAAUGCGCCACCUAGCGUUGCAGUCACCUCGUCAUUAAUUUCUCCCUAUCCUGACCUCAGGUAGGUCCAAGUUCACAGGACAGCAGGGUCCAGAAAUGAAAACCACAGUGACUUUCUUCUCAACAUUCUGCCAUCUACCUGCAAUGUUGACAUACUGGACAGCAAAGACGUCAGGUCUGAGUGUCUGAGUAUUCCAUGGGGCUUCUUUUGGUUUGGGGUUUGGGUAUCAGGUGUGGUCAGCUUGCCUGUCGUGGAAAGCCCUGAUCACAUGCUGCGUCUUUCCCAAGCCUAUGUAGACUGCUCUUGCGGCCCAUCCUCUGGAGCACCUGAGACUGUUCCCCAGACUCCUUGCUUUUCAGCCCGUCUCUGAGAUGGACCUGGACAACUGUGUUCAGCACCAGCAUCUGAACCAGCAACUCUGGUCCAGGACAGCGCUAACUCCCAAUGGAAGACAAACACUUAGCAACAUAUCACUUUCUCUCCCUCUUGGACGUCUGAGUAAAGUGCUGGACUAGGUUUUCCUAGCAAACUCUAAAUGUGACCCACCCAUUGCUACCAGUUGGAUAUUUGAUAGGUAACAGUCCCGAAACUGCCUGUCAAACUGAUUUAUUUGUAAAUCUAACAAAUCCAUUGUUGAAGAGUAUACUAUUUUUGAAAACGAGCAUUAUAUAUACAUACAUAUCCAUAUAUUUGCAUAUGAUAGUAAUACUUGGUAACUGAACAUACACCAGUUUUCUAAUCAAUUAUUAAACGAUUCUCUUCAGUGGCAUACUAGAUACUAUCUAAGUGUUUUGCUUAGUACUUAGAGAUGGAGACACCUCCAUCUGACAGCUGGCAGGACAAGGGUCCUGCACAGACUAUCAUCACAUCCUCGAGAAUAUAUGUAGUGAGAGACAGAGCCAAGAUGUGAACACAACAGAGCAACCCCGACCUCCUGCUCUCGGUUUCUGGCUUUCUACAUGUUUAUAUUAAAAUUAUUAAAAAUCAAAGUUAUUAAAAAUCUCAUGGAUUGAAAUCUCUCAAUGCACUAAGCACAGUGCUAAGUGUCUUGCAGAAAUGAUCUUAUUAGGGUUUGCAAUUAGCCUGUGUGUGGGGCUUAUUUUUAUUUUCUAUUUCACGUGUGGGAGCCAAAAUGCAUGGAAGUUAACUUGCCCAAGGUCACACAUUGUAAGGGGAAAGUCCCUGCUCUGACCUCUCAGCCUCGCCUGAGCACCUGCUCUGGAUACAUAUCCCUGGCUCCUGCUAUGUGUCUGGAACCAUGCUAGGACCAAGGGCAGACAAGGAUGACAAGUGAGAUGCUCCCUUCCAUGAGGAACCCUAGAAUACACAGACUUGUAAUGGGGACAGAAAGGAAAGACACUGUAGUGAUUAGUUAUAAGUGAUCUAAUAUUAGCCAGAAGGGUCCAUGCAAUGUUUCAUAAAUCAUACAUCUUUACAAAUUCAAUUAAAGUGAUGGAGUACAUUUUAUAAAUCUGGUUGGAUUUUAAUUCAUCAAACCAAUCAUCAGAGAGACCCUGACAGGCUGCUCUGACUUCUUUUAUUCAUACUGGAGCUGAAGACACACUGUUAGGGCAAAACUGAGGGCCCUAGAUUUCAGGCAUGUAGUUGGAGAGACACCUAAGAACCUUAGCCACACUCUUAGGUUUGCGCCUCUUAGACAUCUAUCAAUGUUUUGUUUCCUAAUGUCUAUGACCUUAGGGCAGUGGCCUCCUCUCCUUUCCUCCGGCUUGAAGUGUCUGCCAAAGUCCACCUCAGCUGCCCUCUCUCCAUUUGACUCGCUCCCACCCACUCCCCAGGGGUCUUGAGAAAGUUGUCCUUGUGUGAACUUCUCAGGCAAUUUAAUGUCUGGAUGGCGCCUGGCCCCCGAUUCUGAUUCCCGCUGUUGACACUGAUGGUAACCUCAUGCGUAUCAAUGCCGGAUUCCAUCACAGAUAAGGCCUCUACGCUCCUCAAGAAGAAGCUCACUCACCCCUUCGUGAAUAGCCAACAGCAGGGAGUAUAAGGCCUUGAGGACAGCGAGUCCUAAGUCCAUGUUUGCUGAAUAGAGGAGUUUUCAGAAGACAGAUAUCCCAAGGCCAAGAGCCCUACAAACCUGGGGAGUGAACAAAUGAGCUUGAGCAGGGCUUGGCCUACUUCGGGGGCUACUUCUUGCAUUGGGCAGUCCUUAUCGUGUGUAUAUAGGAGGAUCUGUCCUCCAUCAAACCAAAUUUACUACUGCCAAAGCUGGUUUUUGUUUGUUUGUUUGUUUGUUUUUUGUAAAUUCAAUUCAAUGUAUUCCCUAAAGUAAAACUGACAGCAAGGACAGAGAUUCCCACUUUAUCAGUAAUGCAACCUUCUACGCAUCAAUUCAGAUGGUUUUAAAUAGGAACACAGGUUUUACUUUAAUAAAGGCUUCCUACAUGUCCUAUGUUUUA